UACGUAGGUGGCAAGCGUUGUCCGGAAUUAUUGGGCGUAAAGCGCGCGCAGGCGGUCCUUUAAGUCUGAUGUGAAAGCCCUCGGCUCAACCGAGGAGGGUCAUUGGAAACUGGAGGACUUGAGUGCAGAAGAGAAAAGCGGAAUUCCACGUGUAGCGGUGAAAUGCGUAGAGAUGUGGAGGAACACCAGUGGCGAAGGCGGCUUUUUGGUCUGUAACUGACGCUGAGGCGCGAAAGCGUGGGGAGCAAACAGG
This 253-nucleotide ribosomal RNA is filed under the name uncultured bacterium. RNAcentral's name for it is "partial 16S ribosomal RNA". It matches the Rfam family "Bacterial small subunit ribosomal RNA", at positions 524 to 776 of the family's 1533-position model. The record is from RNAcentral.